CCCUGCCUAGUCCCUUUCAUUUGAUGAGGGCAUCUCGUGGAAGAUUAUUGUGGGGAAAACUAUUCGUGUGUAUGCUACGUGGGCCAUCCCGUCAAACGUGGGGCCUUGUUUGCUAGGAUAGGGUCCACUUGGUUUAGAGAUUUUAUUAGAGUUUGAAUGGACCUACCGGCUUGUUGUCAACUCUUGUCUACAGUACUAUAUAAAGGGGCUGACUCCUCAAUAAAGCAGAGAAGAAUAUUAUUGUUUACUUUUAUCUACUUCAUAUGUCAAUAAUAAUUAGGGUUAUUUCAGAAGUACUUUCUCUGUUUCAAAAUAUCCGUCUUAAUUUUGUACUAGCUUUAAUACAAAGUUGUAUUGAGCUUAAGACACUUAUUUUGGAACAAAGGUAUCCUACCAAUUUGAUAUUGUAAUCAUCUAUGAUGGUCAACAAAGAAAUCAAGAUUGUAAUCAUCUAUGAUGGUCAACAAAGAAAUCAAGAUUGAGGUUGUGGAGCAGAUGGAUGAUAAUGAAUCAACUGGAGGCCUUUACUACCACUACAUGUGACUCAUCUAUAACCGAACUUUAAUAGAUUUAAUUAUUGCCAUGACAGAAGAGUUGCCAUUAAAAAUUAUUCAAGCUUGCACGACAGAAGGUUGCCCCUCCAUCCAUCAGUUUCCUUCGUAUCUUUAUCUACUAGAGGUUGGAUACCAUUUCUUCUAUAUUUGAGGUUGCAAAGAUAUUUAAGAUGUCUGUUUCCACACAAGUUUCCAUCUCCAUUUAUAUAUCUUUUGGUCCAAGAUCCUGAUAGGCGCAUAUUCACAUCUUGUAGAUUAGCUCCAAGAUGACCAAAUUACUUCUCAAUGCAAAUAGGCCCCCAAUAAGCUAGAUGGAGUUUUUCUUUCCUUGUGUCAUUCACACUCGUUCAAGAGGCUUGAGCCAUAUGAAUUUUACCAGAUCCAUGAAUGGACAUCUUUUCGUUGCUUGAGAAUAAAUGCCUAUGGAUGGACAUGUUACCAGAUCCAUUUGCUUUGCUUGUAACAUACAGUUGUUAUUCUUGUCAAGUGAAAUACGAGAAAAAGGACAACUUCAACAUUAGAAAAAUAAAUUACAAACUCUGGAACAAUGGAGGUUCAAAGAAAGCAACGAUGACGACAUGCGGGCAACGUGCGGCAAGCCGCGCCACCUAUCUAGUAAUCCAUGAUCCCAACUAGAAAACUGAAACGCGCCCCCGCGUCGCCCCUCCCCGCGGGCGACCCGGGCGGCGACUCCAGAUCCGGCCGUAGGCGACCUCUCUCACCCUCCCUUGCCUUCGCCGUCGGUCAGAGCCGCUCAGGCAAAGCCCCUUGUGGUGGCUAGCGGCGGGGCACCCUCUUUCCUCGUCUCGUGGUGGUGGGCGCGGGGUCCGGCGGCGCAACGACGAGGUCUUUUGGCAACGACAUGCUGUUGGUGGUGGCGCGGCGGCGAUGGGGCACCUGCUUGGCACGCGACAGCUGCGGGUGGGGUUCGAAUCCGGAUCUCAGGCAGCUGCGGGUGGUUCCCCUCCCGACGACGAUGGCCUAUGGGCUCGCUGCGGGGCGCGUUGCCUCCUGGUGGGACGUGUCUCCCUCUGCCUGGCGGAGCUCAGGGCCUCGCCCGCUCGGAGCUGGCGCUAGGGAGUGAAAGGCGCGGGCUGUGCACGGCGUGGACCUGGGGCUGCUGCUGGUCGUGAUGGGGGCGGUGUUGUUGGGUAUGACGGGGGGGGGGGGGGGGNNNNNNNNNNNNNNNNNNNNNNNNNNNNNNNNNNNNNNNNNNNNNNNNNNNNNNNNNNNNNNNNNNNNNNNNNNNNNNNNNNNNNNNNNNNNNNNNNNNNNNNNNNNNNNNNNNNNNNGGGGGGGGGGGGGGGUGCCGGCGAUCGGUGUCAGUUUGGCCGGCUCCGGCUCGUCGGUGAUUGUUGACGAUGAGGUUGGUGGCUCCUGCGUGGCGGUGACGCCGUCGUCUCGUAGGAAGUGUGUGGGAUGGCGGGCUUGCGGACCGGUGGUGCUGCAUCGCCGGUUGCGUGGGGAUGCUCGACGAGGUGGCUCCGGGCGAAAGCCUAGACGGUACGACGUCCAUGGACGUNNNNNNNNNNNNNNNNNNNNNNNNNNNNNNNNNNNNNNNNNNNNNNNNNNNNNNNNNNNNNNNNNNNNNNNNNNNNNNNNNNNNNNNNNNNNNNNNNNNNNNNNNNNNNNNNNNNNNNNNNGACGUCCAUGGACGUCGUUUUCCUCCUUGGGGGUCGUUGUGGAUCCUCUCCUCGCCCAGCACCUUCGGACCAUGGCCAUCGAGCAAAAGCGUAAGACUCCAAAGCGAGUCGGGUGACGACGUCGUUCCCACAUCGCUACCUCCUUGGGGUGUUACCUUGAGGGUCAUCGGUCUCCUUCGUGCUUUCCCGGAUCUGGACAUGCACAACAUCAUGGUCGGCAGGUGCCCGACUGACGAUGUGGUUGGUGCGACUUCUUGUGUGGCUAUGAUGGCGGCUUCGGGCGGAGUUGGUCUGCUGUUGAGUUUUGGUAGUCGGUCUCAUCCGGCGUGUUCAAGGGGUUGCCGCGCCACACUUUGUCUUUCUAGAGUCGGAGUUGCUGAGGCAGGGACUUGCGGUGACGAUGACGCGAGGUGGGUGGUGGGUUGUGGUGCUGGCUUGGCUCAGGCUCAAUACUUUUCUCCUACAAUGUUCGUCGAUAGAGUCGGAACUGUCUGGUAAUUGACGCGUGCGGUUGACUAUUUGGCAGUGGCCGACAUGGCCCUCGGCGUUUGCUUGCGGUGAGGGCUAUGUUGAUGGUCGUCGAUGGUGGAGUCGGAGUCGCCCUUGGGUAGGUCUGAUGGCGAUGACACCGGGUUGCAGCCUCGAGGAUGUUCUCUCCUCGGCGACGUGUGUGCGUUCUUAUGUGGGUUGCCAUGUCGCCCUGUUGUCCGUUAAUCAACCGGGCAAUUCUCGUCUUCUUAAUUAAUGAGAUGAGGCAAAGCUUUUGUUUCUGUUAAAAAAAAUGAUCCCAGCUACAACGACACACACACAUGCACGCACGCACGCAGCGAUAGACAUACAAUUCAAAGUAGCAACCAUGCCGAAUAUCAUGUUGGCGCUUCUCCUAAUCCUCCCCCUCCUCUUCCAGGCCACACACAAAAUCCAUGAGGCCUUGUUUGGUUAAUCCUCUUUCCGUGAGGAUUGAAGGGGAUUUUAAUUUAUUAGGGAUUUAAUCUUCUCGAUCCUUGUCAAAUUCCUUUCACUUUCCUAUCAACCGAACAAGGCCUAACCGAUUUUCUUAGAAAAAAAAAUCCAUGGCACCAUAAGCUUGGAUUUGAUUUUCUUCAAAAUCUCACAAUAAAUAAAUCUAUACCUAAUAAUAAAGCGGCUAUUGCUUCCAUCGAAAAACCCACCGCGGCAUUUUUAUAAAAAACCCUGUAAUUUUUUUUAUUCAACCCGCGCCCCAUCAUUUAUCUGCAACGCAAAAGGAAAAAAUGAUUCGCUGCAAAAAUUAUACCCGUACGCAUCGCCUCCUCCCGUCGACCCUGGUCCAUCCUGGCCUGUGCCCAGGCCGCCGCCACACCACUCACCGCCGCGGCCGACCUCAACCGCCACCGCUGCCGAUCUCAACCCACAUGCCUCCGCGACCGUACCUCUCCCCGCUCACUGCCCCUGUUGCGGUGCUCGAGCGCAUCGCGUCGACCCUGGUCCACCCUGGCAUGUGCCCAGGCCGCUGCUACACCACUCGCCGCCACGGCCGACCUCAACCACCACUAUUGUCGAUCUCAACCCACCCGCCUCCGCGGUCGUACCUCUGCCCGCUUGCUGCCCCCGUUUCGGCGCUCGAGCACAACUUCUGGAUCAAAUCAACGCGACAUCUACAGUGACUGGGGAUGAUGCGUCUGCUCGAUGCAGAACGGCGGCGGCGCGCGAAUAAGGCGCGUCGGAGCGAAGUACUUGCAGGUGGAGUACAAUCAAGAAUUAUGGAGAAAUAUUUAGCUUCUUUAAUAAUUUGUAAGAUAGAACUAGUAACACUAGAGGCCAAUAGAGAAAUCAACUCAUUCUGAAUUUUGUGGCUGAGAUAGUGAUGAUAAAUUUCAUCGUUCUGAAUUCUUCUAAGAUGUUCCUGCAUUAGUGGAUCAAAUUCAGCAAUCAUCUCUACACAUGCCAAAAAUUUACCAUUGUUAUGUUGAUAAAGUUUCUCACUAGAUCCACGGAAAGCCAAGUUACGGUUACCAAGAUAUUUAACAAUUGCUACUAAUCUCACUAACACUUGUCUCAAAUGUUCUUUCUCCUUAUUAAUCUGCUGUUGCAAUCCUUAUCAAUGGUUUUAUUUUUGGCCAGUCUAACUUUUAACUCAUUCCAAGUGUUCAUGGUUUUAAUGUGUUCUACACCAUUUUCAUGUUCUUUAAGCCUCUCGCUAAGAUGCUUCCAGUCACUAAAACCAUUACCAGCUAACGCACUCUUGUUGCUAUGGGAUUUGAAAAGCUUGCAACAAAAACAGUACACUUUGUUAGCAUGUUCAGAGUAAACCAAUCAUUUCCUGGCAUGUACCUCUCCAUUCCUCAACUUUCUGGAAUAAUAAGACAGUGAAAAAUGUCUAGAAUUACUAUCUAGAGGGAACACAAUAUCAUCAUUCCUUACCCACAUUAAUAUCCAGAUUAAUAUCCUUCUCAACUAAAAUAUCCCUUGCAUUAUCAUCCAGAUUAUCCCAGUUUCGUGGGUCAAAAAUAUCAACAGUGGAUGGUUCUUGUUUAUCGACACUCGGUGCAGGGCCCUGACUCGGUGAUUCACAAUUUGAUGAACGAGUUACAUUUUCAUGCUUGUUGGAAUUACCAUUACCCACAUCCAUAUCAUCAUCAGUAGCAUUUGCAUUCUCAGUUGGUUGUUCAACACAUACUAUGGCCAAUUCCAGGGGACCUCUAGAAGAACUACCAGGUUUGAAAUAUCUGUUAAGUGAUCGUUUUAGAGAUUUUACCUCUUCAUCUUUUUGCUUUUUUAUCUUCCUUUUGUUACUACCAGAUAAAUGCUUUCUAAAGGACAUGUUACUUAUCAAGAACAAGCAUCAUAAAAUGAUUAAAACAGGGAACAAAGGCACCUAAAUGUUGAUGUAGGUGGCCAAAUCAGCAGAUCCGUGAGUGGCAGUCAGCAUGACCCUUCUCCAGUUCUGCAGUUCAGUUGUUCGAUGUGCAGGUGAUUUGUUUCACCAGGAAGAAAAAAUCUGUUCUAAAAGAAAGUGAAGAACCUGAUUACCUGAAACAGAUCAGCUGAAACAAACCAGCUUCGGCCCCUCCCUGUAGCCCUCCUGGCUUGGCCCAAAAGCCCCCUGAUCUUCUUCCGUUCGGGAAAAAAAUCAUUUCGGGGAUUUUAUUCCGUUUGGACUCCGUUCCAAAAUCAGAUCUGAAAAGAGCCAAAAACACAGAAAAAAUAGGAACUGGCACUUGGCACUGAAUUAAUAAGUUAGUCCCCAAAAAGAUAUAAAAGGUACAUAAAACAUCCAAAGAUGACAAGAUAACAACAUGAAACCAUAAAAAAUUAUAGAUACGUUUGCGACGUAUCAAGGGCUCCUUGGAUGAAAAGCAUGAUUGCAAUGGUUUCACUAUAAAUUCUAUUAGUGACAAUCAUGCUAAAAAUAUGCAAAACCCUAAGCUUGGGGAUGCUAGUUUUGCUUUGUACACUACUUGUUGCAAUGAUCAUGAGUGGGGCGAUGAUUUUUCUUAUGAUCUUGAAAAUUUGUUUAAGCAUCAUGAUGAAUAUGAUAUUUGCAAUAAUAUUGAAAGUGUGUUUGGAGAACUCAUGACUUCAUUUGAUGAUAAUCCCACUAUUUUUGAAGAGCGUCAACUUUGCAUGCAUGUGGAUCAUGAAAAGAAUAUCCUAUGUGAUAGCUAUAUUGUUGAAUUUGAUUAUGAUCCCACAUGUAAUUGCUAUGAGAGAGGAAAAUAUUGUGGUAGAAACUUUCAUGUUACCAAAUUACCUCUCGUUAUGUUGAGAUUGCUAUUGUCUCUUUCUUCUUCCUUGCAUUUGGUAACUAUUGGUUGUCUUGCCAAUUUGUUUUCCUAUAAAAUGCCUAUGCAUAGGAAGUAUGUUAGACUUAGAUGUGAUUUUCACAUGCUUUAUGAUGCUCUCAUUGUGCUUCAACUCUUGUCUUUUGUGUGAGCAUCAUUGAUGCCUAGCUAAGGGCGUUAAAAAAUAGCGCUUGUUGGGAGGCAACCCAACGAAUCUAUGCUUUUUAUUUCUGUUUUGUGUUUUCCACACUUUCAUAAUUCUGUUAUGAUUGUGCUUUUUGUGUUUCUUUUUGCGUUUGUGCCAAGUAAAACCGUUAUGAUUAGUCUUGGGGAUGAUCGUUUGGUCAUGCUGGAAAAGACAGAAACUUUCUGCUCAUGAAAAGAACUUUCAAUUUUUUUUUUCUGUAAGAGCUUUUGAGUUGAUUCUUUUUGCUGCUGAUUGCUAUGCAAAUUCUUCAGACUGUCGUAAUUUUUCAGAAUUGUUGAAGUACAAGAAGUAUACAAGUAUACAGAUUGCUACAGACUGGUCUGCUGUUAACAAAUUCUGUUUUUGUUGAGUUGGUUGCUUAUUUUGAUGAAACCAUGGAUAGUAUCGGGGGUAUUAGCCAUGGAAGAUUGAAAAUAUAGUAACCCAACAUCAAUAUAAGUAGAAUUUAAGUUUGCUACAAUACCUAAGGAAGUGGUGGUUUGCUUUCUUAUACUAAUGUUAUCACGAGUUUCUGUUUAAGUUUCGUGUUGUGAAGUUUUCAAGUUUUGGGUGAAGUUCUUAUGGACAAAGAGAUAAAGAGUGGCAAGAGCUCAAGAUUGGGGAUGCCCAAGGCACCCCAAGUUUAUUCAAGGAUGCCGUAAAAGCCUAAGCUUGGGGAUGCCCCAGGAAGGCAUCCCCUCUUUCGUCUUCAAUCCAUCGGUAACGUUACUUGGGGCUAUAUUUUUAUUCACCACAUGUUAUUUGUUUUGCUUGGAGCGUAUUGUAUCGUAGGAGUCUUUUAUUUUUGUUUUGUCACAAUCUUCCUUGCUGCACACCUAGAGAGAGAUACAUGCACUCACCGUGAUUUUGUCGAGCUUCACUUAUAUCCUUUGGUUAGACAAUUCAGCUCACAUGUGCUUCACUUAUAUCUUUUGAGCUAGUUGAUUUUGCUCUAUGUGCUUCACUUAUAUCUUUUAGAGCACAGCGGUGCGUGGCUUGGUAGUUGGCUUAUGCUAUGAAAGUAGUCUCAGAAGGGGUAGUUAUCCAAAGGGAUAUGAAAACUUCCACCUUCAUGUGCAUUGAGUAGUUAGAGAAGUUUGAUUCCUCUCAAUUAGUUUUGAGUUGUGGUUGUGGUAAUAUUGAAGUUAUGCUAGUAAGGUGUUGUGGAUCAAGAAAUACUUGUGUUGAAUUUAGUGAUUCCCGUAGCAUGCACGUAUGGUGAACCGCUAUGUGAUGAAGUCUGAGCAUGAUUAGUCUAUUGAUUGUCAUCCUUUGUGUGGCGGUCGGGAUCGCGCGAUGAUGCGUUGAAUGCUUUGUUUUGAUUACUACUAAAACUUUUGCAACAAGUAUAUGAGUUCUUCAUGACCAAUGUUGAGUCCAUGGUUUAGAUGCACUUUCACCUUCCACCAUCAUUAUCUUCUUUAGUGCCGUGCAGCUUUCGCCGGAGCACAAAACCCACCAUUAGCCUCCCUCAAAACAGCCACCAUACCUACCUACUAUGGGUUUUUCAAAGCUAUUCGGAGAUGUAUUGCCAUGCAAUUACCACCAUUACAUGUGCCAUCACUUCUACAUUGCCAUUGCAUGAUCGUAAUAUAGCUAGCAUGAUGUUUCCAUUGAUGUCUAUGACAUGCUAGAUCAUUGUCACGGUACACUACCGAAGGCAUUCCAUAUAGAGUCAUCAUUGCUCUAACUUUUGAGUUGUAAGUGUGAUGAUCAUCAUUGAUGGAGCAUUGUCCCAUGUGAGGAAAUAAAAGAGGCUAGCGAAGCCCAUUUACAAAAAGAGGCCAAAGAUGCCCACCAAAAUAAAAAAUAAUAAUAAAAAAAGAGGCCAAAGAGCCCACAAAAAAAUAAUGAGAGAAAAAGAGAGAAGGGACAAUGCUACUAUCCUUCCACACUUGUGCUUAUUAAGCACCAUGAUCUUCAUGAUUGAGAGUCUCUCGUUUUGUCACCACCAUAUAGCUAGUGAGAAAUUUUCAUUAUAUAACUUGGCUUGUAUAUUCCAAUGACAGGCUUCCUCAAAAUUGCCUUAGGUCUUCGUGAGCAAGCAAGUUGGAUGCACACCCACUAGUUUUCUUUAAGAGCUUUCACAUACUCUUAGCUCUAGUGCAUCAUUUUUAUGGCAAUCCCUACUCAUUCACAUUGAUAUCUAUUGAUGAGCAUCUCCAUAGCUCAUUGAUAUGCCUAGUUAAUGUGACCAUCUUCUCCUUGUUUGUCUUGCAACCUCCACCACACUCCAUUCCACCUAUAGUGCUAAAACCAUGGCUCACGCUCAUGUAUUGCGUGAGAGUUGAAAAAGUUUUAGAAAGUAAAAGUGUGAAAACAAUUACUUGGCUAAUACCGAGGUUGUGCAUGAUUUAAAUUCGUUGUGCAAGGAUGAUAGAUCAUAGCAAGACAAUAUGCUUUUGUAGGAAUAACUUUCUUUUGGCCUUGUUAUUUUGAAAGUUCAUGAUUACCUUGCUAGUUUGCUUGAAGUAUUAUUGUUUCCACAUCAAUAGAAAACUAUUGUUUUGAAUCUAAUGGAUCUGAACAUUCAUGUCACAUAAGAGGAGUUACAAAGGACAUCUAUUCUAGGUAGCAUGAAAGCAUCAAAAAUUCAUUCUUUAUCACUUCCCAACUCGAGGACGAGCAUGAGUUAAGCUUGGGGAUGCUUGAUACGUCUCAAACGUAUCUAUAAUUUUAGAUGGUUUCAUGCUGUUAUCUUGUCAACUUUGGAUGUUUUAUAUACCUUUUAUAUCUUUUUUGGGACUAACUUAUUAAUUCAAUGCCAAGUGCCAGUUCCUGUUUCUUCUGUGUUUUUGACUCUUUUCAGAUCUGAUUUUGGAACGGAGUCCAAACGGAAUAAAAUCCCGGAAAUAAUUUUUUCCAGAACAGAAGAAGAUCGGGGGACUUGAGGGCCAAGGCAGGAGAGCCACAGGGAGCCCACAAGCCCUGUAGCCACCACCAGGGGGGCCGACGGGUACCAGGCUUGUGGCCCCCGUGGAGCUCCCCUGCCCUAGCUUUUUUGCCUAUAUAUUCCCUAAAAUCCUAGAAAAAAUCAGGGCAUCCACGAAAACACUUUUUCGCCGCCGCAAGCUUCCGUUUCCGCGAGAUCUCAUCUGGAGACCCUUCCCGGUGCCCUGCCGGAGGGGACUUUGGAGUUGGAGGGCUUCUACAUCAACAUCAUCGCCUCUCCAAUGACUCGUGAGUAGUCCACUUCAGACCUACGAGUCCGUAGUUAGUAGCUAGAUGGCUUCUUCUCUCUCUUGGAUCUUCAAUACAAAGUUCUCCAUGAUCUUCAUGGAGAUCUAUCCGAUGUAUUCCUCUUUGGUGGUGUGUUUGUCGAGAUCCGAUGAAUUGCGGAUUUGUGAUCAGAUUAUCUAUGAAUUAUAUUUGAGUCUUUGCUGAUUUCUUAUAUGCAUGAUUUGAUAUCCUUGUAAGUCUCUCCGAGUCUUGGGUUUUGUUUGGCCAACUAGAUCUAUGAUUCUUGCAAUGGGAGAAGUGCUUGGUUUUGGGUUCAUACCGUGCGGUGACCUUUCCCAGUGACAGAAGGGGCAGCAAGGCACGCAUCAUGUUGUUGCCAUCAAGGGUAACAAGAUGGGCUUUCAUCAUAGAUUUGAGAUUGUUCAUCUACAUCAUGUCAUCUUGCUUAAGGCGUUACUAUGUUCUUUUGGACUUAAUACACUAGAUGCAUGCUGGAUAGCGGUCGACGUGUGGAGUAAUAGUAGUACAUGCAGAAAGUAUCGGUCUACUUGUUUUGAACGUGAUGCCUAUAGAUAUAAUCAUUGCCAUAGAUAACGUCACGACUUUGUGCGGUUCUAUCAAUUGCUCGACUGUAAUUCGUUCACCCACUGAUGGGGUUAUAGUCCCAGGGUAGGGUCAUAGGCCUGCCCUAUAGGUCCUACCCAAGGACUACCCUUCAUAGAGGACAAGGCCCUUAGACAGUUCCGACUGAACUAAGUGCCUCCCCCAUCAUCCAGUCGGCGACGAGCAUUCGGAGCAUAUUUAACGUACCGACUGGAAUCCACUCUGUACAUCGUAACCUCCCAGGAGGGCAACGGUCAUACGUUUUCAUACACCAUUAUUAACAUUUAAGGCUUACGUUACCUGUAACGUAAGCAUUUAUUUGCCACUAUUCCACCCCUGUCCACCGGGCCAUUAUGAAGGGCAACGCACUCUAUAUAAGCCGCCCUCCCCACUGGUGCGGGGGUUGGCUUUUACUGUAAUCCUAUAAUCCACUCGACACUAAAGCUCCCAAGAGCACUGAGACGUAGGGCUUUUACCUCCACCGUAGAGGGGCCUGAACUCAUACAUCCUCGCCGUAGCUAAGGCUCUGCUAUCCUUUCGUACCCUACACUUCUACUGUCAUACUUAUACCCACGACAGUUGGCGCCUACCGUGGGGCAGGCGUCUAAGCGACUUCCGGCGAGUUUGCGAUUUCAUCUUUUCAUCAUGUCGUCCGGCAGAGAUCUGUGCAUGGAUCAUGAGAUCCUCUUCUGCGCACUCUCCUUCAUCGUCGACGAUUCGGCAUGGCUUCGGGAUGCGCCCCUCGACGUCAAGGCACUCCCCAGUCGCGGGGCUACACACUUCCCUGCCGGUUCCCGCGGCGUCCUCCUUCUCCAGCCAUCGGCCCCGGUGUCGAUCUUCGCCCCUGUCACGCGCUGCAACAAACGGUCCCGUCGUCCGUGGCUCCAACGUUGGGUGCGACACGCCCAGGCGCGACAGAACGCGUCCUCUCAAGUGGCGGUCCUUGAAUCGGUUAUAGUCGUGCCGCCAUCCCAGUGCUUGGACUCAGUUCCGACUGAGUUACCUUCCGAGUACUUGGGUCGCGGGCCUGCAACCGAAGUUCUCAUGGUUGAUUCCCAUGAAAGAAUCAUCCGGCGCUCGUCGUCAACACUAUCGUUCUGCCAGUCGACGCACUCGCGAGAGCAACGUCGAGGUGUUCCGCACACCCAUCCUCAACCUGGCUGUCGCUGCCAGGAUAGCCGAUUCUCUCCAGCCGACUAAUUCAGAGGCUGGUAGAGGGAUCGAGCAGAUCCGUGCCCUGUUGCAUAUGGCGCAGCAACAGAAUUCGGCGGUCUCCCAGUCGCACAAUAGGAUCGACAACAGUUCUGUUCACGCGAACACGCAUUGGUCGGUUUUCAGCCCCGACUCUCAUCAGCGAUGCAGGGGGGGGGCAGCCGUUCCAGGAAUGUCGAAGAUCGUCGCCGUUCGCGCAUUCCUCCGCGGGAUGGGCCUUACGGGCCCCGGCAUCACGAUGAUCGUCGUUCAGUCGGCGACGCGCAUGAUCCCAGGCCAGAUGCAAGAGUGUACAUCGCCCAGAAGAAGGUCGACAGAAGUCGAGCCCACCGUGAUGGUCACGAUAGAGACCGUCCGAGUGGAGGCAGGACCGUCGUUUCUGGUCCCGAGUGCUUCAGUCGGACCAUCCGCUCAGGUGACAUCCCUCUCAACUUCCGAUUGGCGACGGGGAUCAGCAAGUUCACAGGAGAGUCCAAACCAGAAACUUGGUUGGACGACUAGAGAGUGGAAGUCCAAGUCGCCAUGAAACAUCUCCCCCUGAUGCUCGACGGCUCGGCGCGAGCUUGGCUGAACUAGUUUGCUCUGUCAAGCAUCUACAGCUGGGCAGAUCUGUCCCAAGUCUUCAUCAAGACCUUCGAGGGUACGUGCAAGCGCCCUGCUGGUCUCGUGGAGCUCCAACACUGUGUCCAGAAGCAGAACGAGCCCCUGCGCGAUUUCAUCUAGCGCUGGAUGACCCUCUACCACACGAUGGAGAACGUCACAGAGCACCAAGCAGUCUGCGCCUUCAAGGCAGGCGUGCGGUACAGAGAUCUGUACCUGAAGUUCAGUCAGACAUGAGACAUCUCCAUGAGCAAGAUGAUGGAGAUAGCCGCACGCUAUGCAAAUGGCGAAGAGGAGGACCGCAUACGUAGCGGCAAGCAUAAGGCUAUCGCCGAUGGAGAUGGGAACAACAAUCAGAAGCAGAAGGAGAAAGCUCCAUCGUCUCCACAGGCAGAGGCAGCAGCCGUUACAAAUGCUAAGUUCAAGGGCAAGGGGAAAGCUCAGUUCACCCCCAAGAAGAAACAGUUCGGAAACUCCGUCCUGGAUCAGCCGUGUCCAAUCCACACGAAGAUGGAUGAAGAAGGCAAUCCCAUAUUCCCGAAGCAUACCACUCGGCAGUGUCGCCUCCUGAUCCAAGGAUUCGGUGAAGGGCAGCCGAGUGAAAAGGACAACGAGCAGGAUGAUGAGGACAAGGAGGAUCCGUUCCCCCAAGUCCAUGCAACAUUGAUGAUUUUUGCUGAUGUGGAAAGCAAAAGUCGACUGAAGCUGGUGAACACGGAGGUGAACAUGGCAACCCCAACCACCCCCACGUUCCUCAAGUUGUCACAGACUGCGAUCACCUUUGAUCAGUCAGACCAUCCAGCACACGUACCCACCCCAGGGAGGCAAGCUCUGGUCGUCGACCCGGUGGUUGAAGGAGUCCGACUGCGCAAAGUCCUCAUGGACGGCGGCAACGGCUUGAACAUCAUGUACGCUGACACUCUCAAGGGGAUGGGCAUUCCGAUGUCCAAACUUAGCGAGAGCAGCAUGCAGUUCCACGGAGUCGUCCCAGGACGAAAGGCCAAGUCACUCGGCCAGAUCGCGUUGGAUGUCGUCUUCGGCUCCGACAAGAACUUCCGCAAGGAAAAGCUGACAUUCGAGGUGGUGGACUUCCAGAGUGCAUACCAUGCGUUUCUGGGCCGUCCGGCGUAUGCGCGUUUUAUGGCCCAUCCGUGUUACGUGUAUUUGAAGCUGAAGAUGCCAGGUCCCAAAGGUGUGAUCACGGUCACAGGUAAUCGGCAACGAGCCAAGGAGUGUCUGCAGCAGGGGUCGAGGAUUACCGAUCAACAGAUGGCUAUCCUCGAGCUGGAUGAAUACAAGAAGACCGCCGACCCCGCUGACCUGAUGCGUUCGAAGAAGCCAGCUUCGGAGUCAGCAUUCCAGUCGGCGGGAGACACGAAGAAAGUCAGCAUCCACCCGACGGACGAUGCCACUGCACCGACGAACAUCUCCACCACCCUUGAUCCAAAAUAGGAAGCCGAGCUCAUCCAAUUCCUCCGUGAGAACUGGGACAUUUUUGCAUGGAAGCCCGCUGACAUGCCAGGUGUACCCAGGGAGUUGGAUGAGCACCGACUGCAUGUGGAUCCUGCUGCUUGGCCCGUCCGAGAACGCCUACGUCGGUCCGCCGUGCACAAGAGGAAGGCAAUCAGAGAGGAGGUGGCUAAACUUUUGGCAGCCAACUUCAUUCGCGAGGUACACCACUCCGAGUGGCUCACCAAUGUUGUCAUUGUGCCCAAGAAGGACAAGUCUCUUCGUAUGUGCAUCGAUUUCAAGCAUCUCAAUAAGGUCUGCCCGAAAGAUCACUUCCCGCUCCCCCGCAUUGAUCAAAUUGUUGAUUCGACUGCGGGUUGCGAGCGUUUAUCAUUCCUUGAUGCCUAUUCGGGCUAUAAUCAGAUCCGUCUGUAUGGUCCGGAUGAAUUAAAAACAGCCUUCAUCACCCAAUUCGGGUGUUUCUGCUACAUCACUAUGCCAUUCGGUUUGAAGAAUGCAGGAGCAACUUUUAUGCGCAUGACCCAAAAAUGCCUCCUAGACCAGAUCGGUCGAAAUGUGGAGGCAUAUACGGAUGAUAUCGUAGUCAAGUCACGCAAAGGUUCCGACCUGCUGACUGACUUGGCAGAAACAUUCGCCAACCUACGUAGGUACAAUAUCAAACUCAACCCAGCCAAAUGUUCAUUCGGCGUUCACAGCGGGAAGUUACUCGGUUUCUUCGUUUCCGAACGAGGGAUCGAUGUGAACCCCGAAAAUAUCGGGACCAUCGUCCGAAUGGAGCGGCCGGUAAGAAUGCAUGAUGUUCAAAGGCUCACAGGUUGCCUAGCGGCUUUGAGCAGGUUUAUCGCUCGACUCAGCGAGAAGGCCUUACCUCUGUACCGACUCAUGAAGAAAUCACAUACCUUCGAGUGGACAGACGAAGCCCAAAUUGCAUUCGACGACCUCAAAGCCCUGCUUUCCACCCAACCGGUUCUUACUUCCCCGCUCAGUAAAGAACCCAUUCUUCUGUACAUCGCGGCUACAAAUCAAGUCGUCAGCACCGUUCUGACAGUCGAACGUGAAGAAGAAGGCAAAGCGUACAAGGUUCAGCGGCCAGUAUAUUAUGUCUCCGAAGUCCUGACUCCUUCCAAGCAGAGGUAUCCCCAUUAUCAGAAGCUUAUUUAUGGGAUCUACAUGAUUGCAAAGAAGGUGGCUCAUUAUUUCCAAGACCACUCGGUGUCUGUCAUAUCUGAUGCUCUGUUGGCGGAAAUUCUCCACAAUCGGGACGCAUUAGGCAGAGUGGCAAAGUGGGCAAUGGAUAUUCUAUAAUGCGACAUCAAGUUCGAAGCCAAGAAGGCUAUAAAGUCUCAAGCUCUGGCUGACUUCAUAGCAGAAUGGGUAGAACAACAGCAACCGACUCACAUCUACUCGGCUCAUUGGACCAUGUUCUUCGAUGGGUCCAAGAUGUUGAAUGGCUCCGGCGCUGGCGUAGUGAUCAUAUCGCCAAAAGGUGAUAAACUCAAGUAUGUGUUGAAGAUACAUUUUGAUUCUUCCAACAACGAGGCAGAGUACGAAGCUCUCCUUUACGGACUGCGCAUGGCCAUCACACUCGACGUCCGUCGCCUCAUGGUCUAUGGUGACUCAGAUCUGGUGGUUAAUCAAGUGAUGAAGGAAUGGGACGCGAGGAACCCCACCAUGACUACAUACUGCAACGCGGUAAGGAAGCUCGAGAAGAAGUUUGAAGGUCUGGAACUUCACCAUGUUCCCCGACUGAAAAACCAAGCAGCAGUUGAAUUGGCAAAACUUGGAUCCACUCGGAGACCGGUCCCGAGUGAUGUCUGCCUCGAGCACCUACACCUCCCCUCGGUGAAGGAAGAUCCUUUUACAGAGGAACCAGUUCAACCGAAGAGCUCUACAGAUCCGACUGAAGUCGAGGUCCCCGCUGUGGUUGAGUUGAUCAUGGAGAUUCUUGCUGUCAUCCCCGAAUGGACUGAGUCGUUCAUUGCGUACAUCCUGAGGCAAGAGUUACCAGAAGACGAAGUCCAAGCUAGGCAGAUCGUCCGCAGGUCGAAGUCCUUCACCGUCAUUGAUGGCCAGUUGUACAAGGAAAGUGUUUCGAGCGUCCUUCAGCGGUGCAUCUCCCGUGAGGAGGGACAAUUAAUCUUGGAAGAAAUUCACUCGGGAACCUGCGGUCAUCAUGCCUCCUCAAGAGCAAUCGUCACCAAAGCAUUCAGAGCUGGUUUCUUCUGGUUGCAGGCGAAUGAAAUGGCAAAAGAUAUGGUCGACCGAUAUGAAGGCUGUCAGUUUUAUUCGAACAAGUCCCACAAGCCAACAUCUGCGCUGAAGACAAUUCCUCUUGUUUGGCCGUUCGCCAUGUGGGGAUUAGAUACAGUCGGACCAUUCAGAAUAGGCCAAGGAGGAUUCACUCAUCUGCUGGUAGCAGUCGACAAGUUUACCAAGUGGACUGAAGCCAAGCCCAUCGAGAAGCUUGACGCCCUUACGACCAUCAAAUUUAUCAGAGACAUCAUCGCCAGAUUCGGGGUUCCGCACAACAUAAUCACCGACAACGACACAAACUUCGACUCAGACAGGUGCAAAGGCUUUUGCACAGGCCAAGGAAUCCGAGUGGAUUUUGCAUCCGUGGCGCACCCCCAAACAAACGGGCAAGCAGAGCGGGCGAAUGGAUUGAUUCUUCAAGGGUUGAAGCCUCGCCUCCUGCGAGAAGUUGGACAUGCCACCGGCGCAUGGGUCACCGAGCUGCCUUCGGUGCUGUGGGGCCUCCGCACAACUCCGAAUAGGUCUACAGGGCGAUCCCCGUUCUUCCUCGUUUAUGGAGCAGAGGCAGUCCUUCCGAGUGACUUGCUUCACAACUCUCCACGAGUCGAACUCUUCUCCGAAGCCGAAGAGGAGCAAGCCAGGCAAGACGGAGUGGAUCUUCUAGAAGAGGAGCGCGAGAUGGCACUGACUCGCUCAACGAUUUAUCAACAAGGUCUGCGACGAUUUCACGCACGGCAGGUCAGGAGUCGCACGUUCCAAGUAGGCGACCUGGUGCUCCGAGUGGAUUAGCAGAGACCACACAAGUUGGCUCCCGCCUGGGAAGGACCCUGCAUCAUCUCUAAGGUGCUGAACAACGGAGCAUAUCGACUCUACAACCUCGACAGGGAAACGGACGAGCUGCGAUCAUGGAAUGGAGAUCUCCUGAAGCGCUUCUAUACAUGACCGCCGAUGGAGACAAUGUAAAGAACAAGUAUCAUUGAAGUAAUAUAAAGCAGAUUGAUUUCUUGCCGAUUCAAAAUUCUUCCGCGUUUGCAGACUCCGGUCUAAAAAACUAACUCCGAGUGUGCACUAAAAGUUGCACUCGGGGACUUAGCUGCGACCCAGAGUCGCCUAACUAAAAAACUAACUCCGAGUGUGCACUAAAAGUCGCACUCGGGGACUUAGCCGCGACCCAGGGUCGCCUAAGUACAAACUCGCUCCGAGUGUGCACUAAAAGUCGCACUCGGNNNNNNNNNNNNNNNNNNNNNNNNNNNNNNNNNNNNNNNNNNNNNNNNNNNNNNNNNNNNNNNNNNNNNNNNNNNNNNNNNNNNNNNNNNNNNNNNNNNNNNNNNNNNNNNNNNNNNNNNNNNNNNNNNNNNNNNNNNNNNNNNNNNNNNNNNNNNNNNNNNNNNNNNNNNNNNNNNNNNNNNNNNNNNNNNNNNNNNNNNNNNNNNNNNNNNNNNNNNNNNNNNNNNNNNNNNNNNNNNNNNNNNNNNNNNNNNNNNNNNNNNNNNNNNNNNNNNNNNNNNNNNNNNNNNNNNNNNNNNNNNNNNNNNNNNNNNNNNNNNNNNNNNNNNNNUCGGGGACUUAGCUGCGACCCAGAGUCGCCUAAGUGCAAACUCGCUCCGAGUGUGCACUAAAAGUCGCACUCGGAGACUUAGCUACGACCCAGAGUCGCCUAAGUACAAACUCGCUCUGAGUGUGCACUAAAAGUCGCACUCGGAGACUUAGCUGCGAUCCAGAGUCGCCUGAGUAACAACUCACUCCGAGUGUGCAUGAAAAGUCACAUUCGGGGACUUAGCUGCGACUCAGAAUCGCCUAAGUAAAAGCUUCCUCCGAAUGUAUACUCGAGAUACACUCGGAGGCUUAGUACACCCUCAUUGAGACUCAUGUGGAUGUGAAGACAACUACAUGAGUAACAAUUCACUUCGAGUGUGCAUGAAAAGUUGCACUCGGGGACUUAGCUGCGACUCAGAGUUGCCUAAGUAAAAAGCUUCCUCUGAGUAUAUACUCGAGAUACACUCGGAGUUUUAGCAGAUCCUCAUUGAGACUCAUGUGGAUGUGAAGACAACUGACAACUACAUGAGUAACAACUCGCUUCGAGUGCGCACUAACAGUCGCACUCGGGGACUUAGCCGCGACCCAGAGUCGCCUAAGUAAUGACUCGUUCCGAGUGCGCACUAACAGUCACACUCGGAGACUUAGCCACGACCCAGAGUCACCUAAGUAAAAGCUCGCUCCGAGUGCACACUCGGAGACUUGGCAGACCCUCAUUGAGGCUCAUGUGGAUGUGAAGACAACUGACAACUACAUGCUCCGCAUGUUAGCCAUUGGCUUCAUCAAGAAACGCCAAACAAAAACCACGAGCCAAAAUCGUGUCAACAAAAACUUAGCGAAAGAAGAGCAAAAGAUCCGAUUCAAAUUCAAAGUUGGAUCUACGACCAGUUGGCUCGGUGUGAAUCAAGCUUAUCCACACCGAACCACGAAUGUGACGGCCAACAACAGUGGCCAAAGUUUAAUACAGAUACCACUCGGCAUACCGAGUUUAAGGUACGUUCACCAAAAGUUUUUUCAAGCGUCACCGGGACUGGCAGGCUCCACAAAGGUGUCAAGGUCGAUUCCGUCUGCAAUGCGAGUGGCUGUGUCGAGGAAGGUCUCCAUGAAAUCUUCAAAUCGAAGCUUCUUGGUGUUGGCGACCUGCAACGUCUUCAGUUUUUCUUCGCGAGCUUCCUUGCAGUGCACUCGGACCAGAGAUGGCGCCACGUCCGCACCGCAGCGAGCGGCAGACUUCUUCCAUGCCUGCACUUUGCUUGGGACGUCCUCCAGCCGAGUCAUCAACCCAUCUAUUUCUUGCCGGGAGUCGUGUUCUGGCCACAACUCCUUGUCGAUUCAGCCAACGACUUUUCUCAGGCGGCCAAUGAAAGGUCCCACCCUGCUAAGGCGAAUAUGUGCUCGGAGCAUGUCCCGGUUGGCUUCAUCGCUGAGUGGAACGUUCAGAACAAAAGACCGUUCAAUGUCGGCUGCUUCAGCCUCAACGUCCCGACAGAAGUCUGCAAAGAAAAGACAAGCAGAAAGUAAGCGCGGAGUGAACUCCAAAGUCAAGAAGCACUACACAGUAACUUACCACCAAGCAGUGCAACCAUCUUCCUUGCCCAGUCGCUGACGUAGUUCUCCUGCGCCAUGCACCGAGUGUUCAUCACCUUCAAUUGGCCCAUCCAUUCGGAUCUCUGACUCUUCAGUUUUUCAACUUCGGCUAGCAAUGCCUUAUUGGUCUCCCGAGACUCCUCCAAAGACUUCUAUCGGUCAGCAAGAGCCUCCUUCACACCGGCCAGGUCAUUCACAGCCGCCUCCAAGUCCGCAACAAGCUGAAUCUUCUCAGCCUUCAGAGCAUUGUAUGCAGAUCCCAUUGCGCAAGUCUUCUGCCAAAUAGACACAAAGGGAAGGUCAGACACAUUCAACAAGGAAAAAGUAUCGACACAUGCCGAUGCAAAAAAAAACAAAGUCCAAAAUUCUUCAGACCCCUGCCGAAGCAAGCAAUCGACAGCGGUCUCGGGGACUACACCCAGUGGGUUCACUAAGAGUGAACCCACUAGUAUGAAGCUCAAAAAGGUCGGCCCUAUCGAGCUCCAUAGCAAACAAACAAAAUUAUGAGAUUACUAUUACUCGACACGAGUAACACUACUCUCGGAGACUACACCCAAUGGGUGCACUCGGAGUGCCCCCACUGGUACCAUUCGGGCAGAUCAGCUCUGAUCUGUUCAAGAUUACGGAAAAUACAUAUAAAGACAACUGCCGGUGCAAGCACUCGGCAGAAGUCUCGGGGACUACACCCACUGGGUUCACUCGGAGUGAACCCACUGCAAAAUCAUCCUACAGUAUCCGAGUAUAUCGCUGAAACCCCCAGCGGGUAACAAGGGGAAAGUAAACACUUACUAGCGCACUUACUCAGAUAUCGUCCCGGAGUUCCAAGCUUUUCUUGUACAAAGACGCGAUGGAGUCAUACGCUCCCUUGGCGUCACCCACCAUUAGCUCCACCUGCACCAUGCCGUCCUUGGCGGCCCCCACCUGGUCUUCCGGGAGGUGUUGGGCGUCGUAUUGAAUGGUUGACGGACCCGGCGCGACAGAAGACUCCCUGGGCAUCCCGAGCUCCGCUCCAGUCGGUUCCGCCGUGAGGGGCACCUCUCAGUCAGUGGCACCGUCUCAGUUGGCGGCACGUUCAUGGUGGGAGCAGUAGUAGAUGGGACAACCUCAAGGACAGGCGCCAGAGCUGGCUCCGACCCCCUUUGGUCGUCGUCCUCCAGAUGGAUCACCUCCGAAGGAAGCACGACUGAACAAAAUGGAAUUACAGAAAAAGGUCAAGAUCAAGGACAGCACCCGCAAAACAAUAAUACAAACUCUCGAAGUCGUGACAACGUACCUUGCUGGGACGUGGCGGCAUUAUCCGUGUCCAUAGGAUCAUCGUCCUGGCGAGGCAGAGAGGUGGCGGAGGUAGCGGCUCUGUUGAGUGAAAUCCACUCGACGGAUAAGCAUGAGUUCAAUGAGAUACUGAACAAAGAUGGAAGAACAAGACACUUACAUUGAGGCGACUUGAAUGGCGAUCAUCAUCCGAGGCAAAUCUUUCCGAGGCUUAGACCCACCAGGUUUGGCCACCUUGGACGGCUGGUCCGUGGGCUCGGCAGCAGCAUCCCUGGUCCUCUUCACACUCAGGGCACUCGGAGCCACGGGAGGGGCUGGCGGAGCACUCGGGGCCGCUGGAGGAGCCGACGGAGCAGCAGGAUCGUGGCGGCGCUUAGUUCGGUGCUCUGGUGGUGAAGGUGGCGAGCUCUGCUCCCCAUCCUCCUCCUCCUCCUCUUCCGUCUCCUCCUCCGUCUCCCCACUGUCGGAGACGUACUCGGCGCUAUCCACGCUCCCUCCUGGCUGCCCUCCUCUUCCUCGGCUGGAUUCCCGUUCAAGACGGCAGAAUGCUAGUUGGUCCACUCCUGCACAAAACACAGUCGGCAACGUCAGUCGGCGGGACAAGAAAAUCAAUAAAUAUAAGAAGAUUAAAAGCACUGGACAAGAUGUGCUCACCUCGUUCGGAGGAGGAUUGUCAGCGCGGAAGGGCUUCACCCGCCGGGCUCCUUCGGGGUUAUCACACGCGCCUGUGAUGCCGCGGACCCACGCUCUCACAGUCUCCCCGGUCACACACUCUGGAUGAGACCGAGUGGAAUCUGAAGGCCCCGUGUAGUGCCACAUGGCAUGGUGUCGAGCCUGCAGCGGCUGGAUGCGCCGACCCAGAAAAGUCUCCAGCAGAUCCAUGCCGGUGACUCCCUUGCGGACGACGGCUAUCAGCGCGUCGACCAAAGGCUGGAUCUGGACCCUUUCCCCCUUAGAGAGCGCAAGCUUCCUAGGAGGGCCCGGAUGGUCUAGGCUAAAAGGUGGCAACCCACUCGAAGCAUUCGGACAAGCAAUGUCCUGGCAAUAGAACCAGGUCGAUUGCCAGUUCCUAACUGACUCGGACAACUGGAGGGGCGGGUAGCUACUCUUUGUUUUCUUUUGGAAGCCUAAGCCCCCGCAGAGCUGGAGGAGAUGGGUCUUAUCGUUCGACUGGCUAAGCUUCUUGAUGGUUUGGGAUCUAGCGGAGGAGACGUACUUAUAGAGCCCCCAAUGGGGGGACAUCCAAUAAAGCACUCGCAAAGGGUGACGAAUGCAGCAAGGUGGGCUAUAGCGUUCGGAGGAAAAUAAUGGAGCUGCGCCCCGAAGUAAACCAUGAUACCUCGAAAGAAGGGGUGGGGAGGUAAGGAGAAGCCCCUGAACACAUGGCUGAGCAGCAGAACGCGCUCCCCCUCCUUCGGCGCCGGCUCCGUCUCGCCUUCCGACAGCCUCCAGGACUUGUUGACGAUCAGGCCAUGCUCCACCAGCUCCAGCAAAUCGUCCUCCGUCAUCGAGGAGGGGAGGAAAUCCCCCUGGAUCCAACCCGCCGGCAGCGCACGCUGUCGCCACUGAGCAGGGGCGGCCCCCUUCUUCUUCUUCUUCUNNNNNNNNNNNNNNNNNNNNNNNNNNNNNNNNNNNNNNNNNNNNNNNNNNNNNNNNNNNNNNNNNNNNNNNNNNNNNNNNNNNNNNNNNNNNNNNNNNNNNNNNNNNNNNNNNNNNNNNNNNNNNNNNNNNNNNNNNNNNNNNNUUCUUCUUCUUCUUCUUUUGCGACUCGAGUUUGCUGGUCUGGCCCUUCGUCAUGGCGAAGGAAACAGAUCCGCAGAGGAGGAGAGGAAGGAGGAGACUUGAGGUGUGCAGAGAGUUGCGGGAGGAGCGGGAUUAAUGCGAGGAAGAUGAGCAGCGUAACAGAGGAUCCCGCCGGAGAGGCUUAAAUAAGCUUCCGACUGGGUCACUAACAAGUGGACCCAAAAUCUUAUCUCCCCAACCGGCCGCUGCGAUGUUAGUGGGGACGAUAAAGGCGCGGUAAUCGAGGAGGCAAAACCUACUCGAUGAUGAUGUCGUCAUCCCCGCUGAGCGCGCGGCAACAGAAAUUUGAGGAUCCCGGAAAAUCCGACGCUGUCAAUUUGACCAGUCACGUCGAAAGAUUCCUCGGAAGCACUCGGUCCCUGAUGGUUCGUUUCAUUGAUAUAUUCACUCGGAUCACUGGUUGAAAGGAUAAAACGGAUCGAGGCAGACAACGCUGAAGUCACCUCUGUACCAGUCGGUUCCAUACUCCAGACAUCACUUCAUCGUUCCAACUGUUGGAAAUAUGCCCUAGAGGCAAUAAUAAAAUGGUUAUUAUCAUAUUUCCUUGUUCAUGAUAAUCGUCUAUUGUUCAUGCUAUAAUCCUAUUAACAGGAAACAAUAAUACAUGUGUGAAUAAAUAGAUCACAAUGUGUCCCUAGCAAGCCUCUAGUGGGCUAGCUCGUUAGUCAAUAGAUGAUCAUGGUUUCCUGAUCAUGGGCAUUAGAUGUCAUUGAUAACGGGAUCACAUCAUUGGGAGAAUGAUGUGAUGGACAAGACCCAAUCCUAAGCAUAGCAGUAGAUCGUAUUGUUCGUAUGCUAAAGCUUUUCUAAUGUCAAGUAUCUUUUCCUUCGACCGUGAGAUUGUGCAACUCCCGGAUACCGUAGGAGUGCUUUGGGUGUAUCAAACGUCACAACGUAACUGGGUGACUAUAAAGGUGCACUACGGGUACCUCCGAAAGUGUCUGUUGGGUUGGUAUGAAUCGAGAUCGGGAUUUGUCACUCCGUGUGACGGAGAGGUAUCUCUGGGCCCACUCGGUAGAACAUCAUCAUGAUCUCAAUGUGACUAAGGAGUUAGUCACACGAUAAUGUGCUACGGAACGAGUAAGGAGACUUACCGGUAACGAGAUUGAACAAGGUAUUGGUAUACCGACGAUCGAAUCUCGGGCAAGUUCUAUACCGACAGACAAAGGGAAUCAUAUACGGGAUUGAUUGAAUCCUUGACAUCGUGGUUCAUCCGAUGAGAUCAUCGUGGAGCAAGUGGGAGCCACCAUGGGUAUCCAGACCCCGCUGAUGGUUAUUGGCCAGAGAGGUGUCUCGGUCAUGUCUGCCUGUCUCCCGAACCCGUAGGGUCUACACACUUAAGGUUCGAUGACGCUAGGGUUAUAGGGAAUUGUUAUACGAGGUUACCGAAAGUUGUUCGGAGUCCCGGAUGAGAUCUCGGACGUCAUGAGGAGCUCCGGAAUGGUCUGGAGGUAAAGAUUGAUAUAUAGGACGGAUGGUUUCGGAUACCGGAAGUGUUUCGGGCAUCACCUGUAACGUACCGGGACCACCGGAGGUGGCCCCGGGGGUCCACCGAAGGGGGGGCAAUGACCCCGGGAGGUAAGGUGGGCCAAGUGGGGAAGGGAACCAGCCCCUAGGUGGGCUGGUACGCCUCCCCACUCAGCCCAAUGUGUGGGGGAGAGAAAGGGGGGGGGGAGGAAACCCUAAGCCAGGUGGGCCUAAGGCCCACCAAGUGGUGCGCCACCCCCUCCCCCCCUCUCGCCGCCGCACCUCCCAUCUGGGGGGGCUGCCGCACCACCUAGGGUGGGAACCCUAGGGGUGGCACCCCCACUCCCUUCCCCCUAUAUAUAUCAGGCACUUUUGGCCAUUGAGAGACAGACUUUUCCCUCUCCCUCGGCGCAACCCUGCCCUUCUUUCUCCUCCUGUCUGCCGGUGCUUGGCGAAGCCCUGCCGGGAGACCUCGUCUCUCCAUCGACACGACGCCGUCGUGCUGCUGGAGUUCUUCCCCAACAUCUCCUUCCUCCUUGCUGGAUCAAGGUGCGGGAGACGUCACCGGGCUGCACGUGUGUUGAACGCGGAGGUCCGUAGUUCGGCACUAGAUCGGAAUCACACCGCGAUGUGAAUCGCUGCGAGUAUGACUCCAUCAACCGCAUUCUAGUAACGCUUCCGCUUAGCGAUCUUCAAAGGUAUGAAGAUGCUCUUACCCCUCACUCGUUGCUGGUCUCUCCAUAGGAAGAUCUGAAUAUGCGUAGGAAAAUUUUGAAUUUAUGCUACGUUACCCAACAACAUAAAUAAGCUUCCGACUGGGUCACUAACAGGUGGACCCGAAAUCUUAUCUCCCCAACCGGCCGCUGCGAUGUUAGUGGGGAAGAUAAAGGCGUGGUAAUCGAGGAGGCAAAACCUACUCGAUGAUGAUGUCGUCAUCCCCGCUGAGCGCGCGGCAACCGAAAUUUGAGGAUCCCGGAAAAUCCGGCGCUGUCAGUUUGACCAGUCACGUCGAAAGAUUCCUCGGAAGCACUCGGUCCCAGACGGUUCGUUUCACUGAUAUAUUCACUCGGAUCACUGGUUGAAAGGAUAAAACGGAUCGAGGCACACAACGCUGAAGUCACCUCUGUAACAGUCGGUUCCAUACUCCAGACAUCACUUCAUCGUUCCAACCCCGAUCCAUUCGGGGACUAAUGAUGGGGUUAUAGUCCCAGGGUAGGGUCAUAGGCCUGCCCUAUAGGUCCUACCCAAGGACUACCCUUCAUAGAGGACAAGGCCCNNNNNNNNNNNNNNNNNNNNNNNNNNNNNNNNNNNNNNNNNNNNNNNNNNNNNNNNNNNNNNNNNNNNNNNNNNNNNNNNNNNNNNNNNNNNNNNNNNNNNNNNNNNNNNNNNNNNNNNNNNNNNNNNNNNNNNNNNNNNNNNNNNNNNNNNNNNNNNNNNNNNNNNNNNNNNNNNNNNNNNNNNNNNNNNNNNNNNNNNNNNNNNNNNNNNNNNNNNNNNNNNNNNNNNNNNNNNNNNNNNNNNNNNNNNNNNNNNNNNNUUUUCAUACACCAUUAUUAACAUUUGAGGCUUACGAUACCUGUAACGUAAGCAUUUAUUUUCCACUAUUCCACCCCUGUCCACCAGGCCAUUAUGAAGGGCAGCACACUCUAUAUAAGCCGCCCUUCCCCACUGGUGCGGGGGUUGGCUUUUACUAUAAUCCUAUAAUCCACUCGACACUAAAGCUCCCAAGAGCACUGAGAUGUAGGGCUUUUACCUCCACCGUAGAGGGGCCUGAACUCAUACAUCCUCGCCGUAGCUAAGGCUCUGCCCAUCCUUUCGUACCCUACACUUCUACUAUCAGACUUAUACCCACGACACCCACCGUCUACUUGCUUUCAUGAGAGAAGCCACUAGUGAACACUACGGCCCCGGGUCUAUUCACAACUAUCGUCUCCACUUUCACUUUUACUUUGCUUUGUUUUCCUUUUUGCUUUCAGUUCUCACUUUGCAAACAAUGUAUAAGGGAUUUACAACCCCUUCAUAGCGUUGGGUGCAAGCUCUUUGUGUUUGUGCACGUACUUGUGACCUGACGCGAUCCUCCCACUGGAUCGAUACCUUGGUUCUCAAACUGAGGGAAAUACUUACUGCCGCUGUGCUACAUCACCCUUUCCUCUUCAAGGGAACACCAACGCAAGGCUCCAAGGCCGCGGGGAAAUCCUUUGCAUAUUUUUCAAGGAAGUCCCUAUAAGCGUAGCCGUAGCAGCAGGAUUCCUGGCGCCGUUACCAGGGUAGGUCUGUUGUCGCAGUAGCAGACCCCGUGCGGCACGGCACUGGUGCAUCACCGGACCAAGAGCGGCUCCCCCCAGAUGCCGCUUCAAGAUUCCAUCAAGCAAUGGCAGAGGGGCUUUUUCUAUGUGACGAAUGCCAGCCCCACCCGCGACGCCCUCAACAUGCCCCCUUCGCCACUGAGCCUCCGACGACGAAGAAGAACUGGCAGUCCAAGUACCCCCGGCUGGUUCCCGAGGUAACGCAAAUUGGCGUCUACCUCGAUAGCCUGAAGGCUCGUGGCCUCGUAGGCCGCGAUCUCCUUACCACCAUGAUGGCCCGCAGGAUCCUGCCCCAGAGGCGGCCUCAUCUGAUAUGUCAGAUGAGUGGCCGACACGAUCCAUGCUGGCUCUCCACCAAGAAUUUCCACCCUGGAGCGGUAUCAAAGAACGUGAACAAGAUCUCCUCCGCUAACAUGGAUGAAGGAGGAGACUGGUAGUGGGGGUUGGUUCCCUAUGAUAGGAACCAUCCUCCCCUCAUGGUUAGUGUCUUCAUGAGUUUUGUACUUCUUUGUCUUUUUGAAACUGUUAUUUCUUCUCAUUGAGCCGGCUGCAAACUUGGUUGCAUCAGCUGUUUGAGAACCUGCAAAGGCUCGCCCCGCCGGCUCCCGACGUGGAGACGUCGGACCCCUCGGAGAUUGAAGACGAGGGGAUGAUCGAGUCGCGGGACGCCAUCUCGGAGGAGGCGUUGGAGUCGGAAGGCUCCGAGCCGUCUGGUGAGCACCUGAGGCCUCCCCUUGUUGCCUGGACGAACCAUGAUGCGACUCCGGCCUCUUCAUAUGAUGCAGCCUUCGAGGAGGAUGCCGAGGAGGCGGAGGAAGUCACCAGCCCUCCCCCGAUACGAGGCCGCCGCCAUACCGACGAGACGGCCGUUCCUGGCGAAGUGGCCAGGAACAAGGGUAAGGGUGCCACAGCUUCCAGGCCGGCCCCCAAACGCGUCGUGCCUGGACCUCCAACCGGAGGACGAGCAGGCGGCGCUAAGAAGCGUCGAGCCGGCGCCAGCAGGAAGCAGGUGCCCGUCGUGGCGGGGUAAGAGUCCUUCGCUGUUCUUUUUUAGUUUUGUCGAGUGAGGAUAGGUUCCUCAAAUCAUGCGUGGCAGGGAGGCAGAAGACGUGGAGGAAGAAACUGCCUCCGCCGCCGAACGGGCCGGCUGGGCAGCAGCCGAGGCUACCCAGAAGGCUCUUGACGAUCAAUCCGCCCGUUGCUGGGAGGUGGCCGCGAAGAAGAUGGUCGCAGGCCAAUCUCAGCCCAGCCGGGCUGAGAAGCCUAGGGAGAAGCGUACGAAGGCUAGACAUGAUGUAACGACUAAGAUGCGGUCCUUUUCGAUUUAGGGAACGAGGCCCCAAAUUGGAAAUAAGCGCAUCUAAGCGUUUCACAAGCACGGUAACAUAGCACAUACAUAAUAUCAGAGUUUACAUCACGCAUCCAAACAAGGUAGUUCCGCUACGGACUACAUAACAUGAGAAAAGGCUAUGCUACCCUGCAUGCAUGCCCACAAUCACGACCACGCCUUAGUCUUCUAGAUAGUUCACGUACAAGCGGUCGGUCUCCUCAUCGUGCUGCCACGCCAGCUGCGUGCCGUCGGGAUCGCCUGUGUCGGGCGUACCUGUACCUGUUGGUGUUUUGAAGGAAUCUGUGAGCCACGGGGACUCAGCAAUCUAUGACCUCGGUGCCAGAACUAGUCAAGUUAUUGGGUAAGGAAGGUGGAGUAUUUAGGUUGCAGCAUCCUAAGCAUAUAUGGUGGCUAACUUACGUAGAACAAGUAUUGAAGGUGGUCUAUACUAGCGAUCGAUGAUUAGCUGAGCACUAAGUGAUCCUGAACACCUACUUACGUCAAUCAUAACCCCACCGUGUUCCCGAUCGAAGAGAGGUCUCCGAAGGGGACAGUCACGGUUACACACACAGUUGGCAAUUUUAUUAGAUUAUGUUCAAGUUAUCUAUAACCGGAUGUUAACAAAUAUUCCAAGUUGCAACAUAAUCGCGGGCACGUCUUUCCGAAAGAUUAAACCCUGCAGGGGUGCUUCAACUAGUCCAUCGCAAACGGUCACGGGCCGCAAAGUAAUCCUCUAUCACAAAUCUCGUGAUCUCGUCGGAUUCCUUAGAGGAAAACCUCAUCUCUGGGGAGAACCAAAGCUUCACCGGGAUUCCUAUACGCAAGAUAUGUCGCUAAGGUAAGACAAGACUAGCAGGAUCUCCCGGUGUGUCAACGACCCUGAUAAGAGCCGCUUAUCUCAGUCUCAGGACAACACCGUCUAUGCAUAGUGGAGAAUGACCAAACCUCAAAAUUCCCUGAGGUGGUAUUGCCGACUGCUAGGUGGGUGGACCAACACUCAUGAGGAGCACUGGCCCGGGUUGUUGAUUAAUUCCUCAGGUAGCUAUUCCUUAUGCAAAUUAUUAUUAAUUGAUUAGCAAUUAAAACCAAUGUUGGGUCGUGCCGGACAAGUCUUAACACUACACAAUUUAUCAAGGGGGUCCCCAUAACAACCCCGAACGUGUUAGGAGCGAUCAGUUAUGGAAUCAAACACCGGUAGCCGGUAACUGUGGCGGCAAUAACUGAACAAAAUACCCAGCAAGAGGCUAGGCCUUCCGUUAUUUACCAAUUAUAUAGGUGCAUUAAUUAAAUAACAGAUUUUACAUAAUGAUAUCAAACUCAUGUUAUCACAUGAGACAAAGCACCUGCAACUAGCAACGCUAACAUUAGUAGCUGAGCAAAGCCUACUUAGCCAUUCAAGAUUUGCUACGAAGGGAUAAGUGUUUAGGUUUCAAAUUUCAGGAGGCAUUUAUUUCAGUGGUAGGCAGCGAGCAUAUGACAAAGGAAACAUGAAUCUAGCAUAAUAAGUUUAGAGAUGGAAUCAAGGUCAUAUCAUCUUGCCUGUGAUGUCCUCAGCUUGGAACUGCUCUUGUUCGUCCUGCACGUACUCUCCCGAAUCCACAUACUCGUUCUCCGAUCCUGGUGCUACCCAAUAUAAGAAUAACAUCCAAUGAACAACAACACCACAAGAUGCAACAAGCACAUGAUGCAUGAGAUGAAAUGAACAUGCAUCUCUACUCUAGUCACUUGCACAAGCAUGCGAAGAAAAUACAAGUUCCUGGACAGAACUGCACUCUAAGCUAUCUUGACAUGCAUGAGUAUGACAUGAACAGAUACGUCACGCGAAAACGAUGCAAAACCAUAUAAAGAAUGUUACAAACGGAGCCACAGAUCAACGGGAAAUAACAAAACAAGAAAUGAAGUACUACGUAUCAAUACCAUCACCACACACUCUAAUGGCAUACUUCUGGUAUUCCCAGGUUGCCAUAUCACAAAACAAACAAGAACGGAUGGGGUGGUGCAAGGAAUAUCACCACACCAUCAACUAUGCACUCACAAGCAACAAAACAUCAUAACUACACAAUCUAUCCUAAUAAGCAUCAUAGCAGUUUGAGGGCUACAUGCAAAGCACCUACAGCCACCCAAAUAUGCCAAAUAGUAUAUGUGGCAGAAGCUAUACAAAACCUCUACAAGCAUGAGCAAAAAGAUAUUGCAAAGGAGUUCCACACAGAAAGUUACACAUCUCCUAACUUGGCCAAAAUAUCAGUUUUCAGGGACUUACUGAAAAUUCCAGAUUCUCACUAGCUGUUUAUGCUCUGAAGCAUUUUGACAGCACCCAAAACAAUAUCUACAGGACUCCAAAAGGAAUGAAGAUUUACAGAGAGCUAGACAAACACAAAAGUUAUAACUUUCCAGUUGAUAGCCAGGGCUGAUUCCCAACACAUGGACUUCUACAAGCACAACAACAAGAGAAGAAAAUAUAAGCAGAUUCUCAGACUUAGUGAAAAUCACAGAUUUUCACUAAACUUCUACAAGCACAACAACAGGAUAAGUAUGUUAGACUUAUAUAUGUCUGUCACUUGUUUCAUGAUGCUCUCUUCAUGUCCGAUUGCUAUCUUUUAUAUGAGCAUCAUUGAAUUUUCAAUGCCUAGCUAAGGGCGUUAAACAAUAGCGCUUGUUGGGAGGCAACCCAAUGAAUAUAUAUUUUUAUUUCUGUUUUGUUGCAUCCACACCAUCAUAAUUCUGUCAUGAUUGUUUUUUUGUGUUUGAGCCAAGCAAAACCUUUAUGACUAGUUUUGGUGAUGGUUGUUUGAUCCUCCUGGAAAAAGACAUAAACUUUUCGCUCACAAAAUUAUUUUUAGUUUUUAUUCCGAAAGAGAUUUUGAGUUGAUUCUUUUUGCUGCUGCUUGAUAUGCCUUUUUCCCAGGCUGUCGUAAUUUUUCCGAUUUUUUUAGGUACCAUAAUUAUACGAAGUGUACAGAUUGCUACAGACUGGUCUGUUUUUGUCAGAUUCUGUUUUUGUUGAGUUGGUUGCUUGUUUUGAUGAAACUAUGGAUAGUAUCGGGGGGGGGGGUACUAGCCAUGUAAAAGUGAGAAUAUAGUAAUCUAACACCAAUAUAAAUAGAAAUCAAGAUUGCUAAAGUACCUAAAGAGGUGGUAGUUUGUUUUCUUGUGCUAAUGAUAUCAUGAGUUUCUGUUUAAGUUUUGUGUUGUGAAGUUUUCAUGUUUUGGGCGAUGUUCUCAUGGACAAUGGGAUAAAGAGUGGAAAGAGCUCAAUCUUGGGGAUUCCCAAGGCAUCCCAAGCCAAAUUGAAGGACACCAAAAAUCCUAAGCUUGGGGAUGCCCCGGGAAGGCAUCCCCUCUUUCGUCUUUAAUCCAUCGGUAACAUUACUUGGAGAUAUUUUUUUAUUCACCACAUGAUAUGUGUCUUGCUUUGAGCGUCUUGUAUCGUAGGAGUCUUUUCUUUUUGUUGUGUCACAAUCAUCCUUGCUGCACACCUUUUGAGAGAGACAUGCACCCAUCAUGAAUUUGCUAGAAUGCUCAUUGUGCUUCACUUAUAUCUUUUGAGCCAGACCAUUUUGCUCUAUGUGCUUCACUUAGAUCUUUUAGAGCACGACGGUGCGUAACUUGGUAGUUGGCUUAUGCUAUGAAAGUAGUCCCAAAGGUGAUAGGUACCCAAAGAGGAUACAAUAAAACCUCCAUCUUCAUGUGCAUUGAGUAGAAAGAGAAGUUUUGAUUCCUCUCAAUUAGUUUUGAGACGUGGAUUUGGUAAUAUUAAGAGUUAUGUUAGUAGGGUGUUGUGAAUCUAGAAAUACUUGUGUUGAAGUUAGUGAUUCCCGUAACAUGCACGUAUGGUGAACCACCAUGCUAGGAAGUCGGAGCAUAAUUAAUCUAUUGAUUGUCAUCCUUUGUGUUGCGGUCGGGAUCGCGCGAUGGUUUACACCUACCAACCCUUCCCCUAGGAGUAUGCGUUUAGCACUUUGUUUCGAUUACUAAUAAAAACUUUCGCAACAAGUAUGCGAGUUCUUCAUGACUAAUGUGAGCCCAUGGUAUAGAUGCACUUUCACGUUGCACCAUUGCUAGCCUCUCUAGUACUGCGCAAUUUUCACCGGUGCACAAACCCACCAUAUGCCAUCCUCAAAACAGCCACCAUACUUACCUACUAUGGCAUUUUCAUAGCCAUUCCGAGAUAUAUUGCCAUGCAACUCCCACCGUUCCGUCUCAUGACUUGCGCCGUCACUCUCAUAUUUCCAUUGCAUGAUCCUAAGAUAGCUAGCGAGAUGUUUCAACAUCAUACGCCAAGCUAGAUCUUUGCACAUCCCGGUACACUGUCGGAGGCAUUUCCUAUAGAGUCAUCAUCGUUCUAAGCUUUGAGGUGUGAGUAAAUAAAAGUUUGAUGAUCAUCAUUAUUAGAGCAUUGUCCCAUGUGAGGAAAUAAAAAAAAAUAGGCCAAAGUUGCCCACACACAAAAAAAGA
Molecule: long non-coding RNA, 31222 nt
Filed under: Hordeum vulgare
Lineage: Eukaryota; Viridiplantae; Streptophyta; Magnoliopsida; Poales; Poaceae
Description: long non-coding RNA (HVUL_LNC014943)
Source: RNAcentral